ACGUUGCUAGAGCAAAGAUGAACACAGCUUCCUUAAGGACCUCAGAAUCCAGACGGCAAGAAAGACUGUGCGCACGGUCUAUACUACCUUCUGCCACUCUCAGUUCCAAAAGCCGGUGGACAGUGCGCCACAUCAUUUUAAGAUCCGCAGAGAGG
Molecule: long non-coding RNA, 155 nt
Filed under: Ictidomys tridecemlineatus (thirteen-lined ground squirrel)
Lineage: Eukaryota; Metazoa; Chordata; Mammalia; Rodentia; Sciuridae
Description: lncRNA (ENSSTOG00000031380.1)
Source: RNAcentral